Molecule: non-coding RNA, 374 nt
Organism: Cinara cedri
Lineage: Eukaryota; Metazoa; Arthropoda; Insecta; Hemiptera; Aphididae
Source: the annotation of a GenBank genome assembly
UAGGAUGCAAACCUGCUUCUAAUGCCAUUUCUGCUUUGAGCUUGAUUUCAUUAUCUGUUUCAUAGCCUCUUUCCGAAUGCCCAAGAAUUACAUACGUACAUCCUAACUCUUUAAGCAUUUCUGCACUGACUUCACCCGUAUAAGAACCUGAUUUUUGGUGAUAACAGUUCUGCGCUCCUAUACUAAUAUUACUUUUUAGUUCUAUUCUGUCCGGAAAUGAUGUAAAAGGCGGACAGAUAAUUAACUGCGAAGAAAUUUUAUCACUCUUUUUAUUGAGCUUACCUAUAAAAUCCACAAAUGAAGACCGUGUCCCAUUCAUCUUCCAAUUUGCUAUGAUUAAAAAAGACAUUAUUUUACUUAGACUAUUAGUCCUU